This 57-nucleotide transfer RNA is filed under the name Ovis aries (sheep). It matches the Rfam family "tRNA", at positions 8 to 63 of the family's 71-position model. Rfam says of the family: Transfer RNA (tRNA) molecules are approximately 80 nucleotides in length. Their secondary structure includes four short double-helical elements and three loops (D, anti-codon, and T loops). Further hydrogen bonds mediate the characteristic L-shaped molecular structure. tRNAs have two regions of fundamental functional importance: the anti-codon, which is responsible for specific mRNA codon recognition, and the 3' end, to which the tRNAs corresponding amino acid is attached (by aminoacyl-tRNA synthetases). tRNAs cope with the degeneracy of the genetic code in two manners: having more than one tRNA (with a specific anti-codon) for a particular amino acid; and 'wobble' base-pairing, i.e. permitting non-standard base-pairing at the 3rd anti-codon position. The record is from Rfam by way of RNAcentral. Lineage: Eukaryota; Metazoa; Chordata; Mammalia; Artiodactyla; Bovidae.
UAGCUCAGAUGGUUAAAGCAUCUGCCUGCAAUGCAGGAGACCGGGGUUCGAUCCCUG